AAAGCUCAAAUUUAAAAUCUGGUGGUCUUUGGCCUACCCGAGUUGUAAUCUAGAGAAGCGUUAUCUGCGCUGGACCGUGUAUAAGUCUCCUGGAAUGGAGCGUCAUAGAGGGUGAGAAUCCCGUCUUUGACACGGACUACCAGGGCUCUUUGUGAUGCGCUCUCAAAGAGUCGAGUUGUUUGGGAAUGCAGCUCUAAAUGGGUGGUUAAAUUCCAUCUAAAGCUAAAUAUUGGCGAGAGACCGAUAGCGAACAAGUACCGUGAGGGAAAGAUGAAAAGAACUUUGGAAAGAGAGUUAAACAGUACGUGAAAUUGUUGAAAGGGAAACGCUUGAAGUCAGUCGCAUGGCCCAGGGAUCAACCCUGCUUUUUUUGCUUGGUGUAUUUUCUGGUUGAUGGGUCAGCAUCAAUUUUGACCAGUGGAAAAAGGUCGAGGGAAUGUGGCAUCUUCGGAUGUGUUAUAGCCUUUGGCUGCAUACAUUGGUUGGGAUUGAGGAACUCAGCACGCCGCAAGGCCGGGUUGUUUCAACCACGUUCGUGCUUAGGAUGCUGGCAUAAUGGCUUUAAUCGACCCGUCUUGAAACACGGACCAAGGAGUCUAACAUACCUGCGAGUGUUUGGGUGGAAAACCCAAGCGCGCAAUGAAAGUGAAAGUUGGGAUCUCUGUCGUGGGGAGCACCGACGCCCGGACCAGACCUUCUGUGACGGAUCCGCGGUAGAGCAUGUAUGUUGGGACCCGAAAGAUGGUGAACUAUGCCUGAAUA
Molecule: ribosomal RNA, 762 nt
Filed under: Calliderma pruinatocutis
Lineage: Eukaryota; Fungi; Basidiomycota; Agaricomycetes; Agaricales; Entolomataceae
Description: LSU rRNA
Rfam family: Eukaryotic large subunit ribosomal RNA
Source: RNAcentral